This 253-nucleotide ribosomal RNA is filed under the name uncultured bacterium. RNAcentral describes it as "partial 16S ribosomal RNA". It matches the Rfam family "Bacterial small subunit ribosomal RNA", at positions 524 to 776 of the family's 1533-position model. The record is from RNAcentral.
UACGAAGGGGGCUAGCGUUGCUCGGAAUUACUGGGCGUAAAGGGCGCGUAGGCGGACAGUUUAGUCAGAGGUGAAAGCCCAGGGCUCAACCCUGGAAUUGCCUUUGAUACUGGCUGUCUUGAGUACGGGAGAGGUGUGUGGAACUCCGAGUGUAGAGGUGAAAUUCGUAGAUAUUCGGAAGAACACCAGUGGCGAAGGCGACACACUGGCCCGUUACUGACGCUGAGGCGCGAAAUCGUGGGGAGCAAACAGG